ACUGUGCGCUGUUGUCAGCCUUGGUCGAUCGUUGGCGUCCAGAGACUCACACGUUCCACCUACCAGUUGGAGAGAUGGCAGUCACCCUCUAGGACGUCUCUUUGCUUCUUGGUUUGCCACUCGCUGACCGAGCCGUGGCUGCCUGGGCUGUUGACCCGGACUGGAGGCAGGAGAUCUUGCAGUGGUUUGUUGGAGUUAUUCCACCGGUUGAGGACCAGCCGCCUCAGGUCGACUUUACUGACAGGCAUGGACCGAAAAAGGCUUGGCUGCUGCAGUUCACGGCGGAGCACCUUGGUGAGAAUGCGGAGGACUGAAGGGUUAGCAGGAACCUGGAGGCGUACCUGUUGUGGUUGUUCGGAUGGAUGUUGUUUACCAUUUCGCACCACGACAGUGUCGACAAGCACUUGAUCUGGUAUGCUCAGCAGAUUGCCGACGCUCCUUUGGAUGACGUUCCUCAGUUCAGUUGGCCGGUUGUCCGUUACCAUGCUCGCUGCUACUGAGAGGACCUUGUGCGAUGUGUGCACGAGGAGGAGCUCGACUGGCACAUUGGCCGGUUGUCCGUUGUUGCUUAUGUUGUGGUCGUUCAAGCGGUUCGACAUCGGACGGCCCAAGCUUCAUAGCUACGAGCCAUACGAGCAGGCCUUGUACCACCUGUACGAUGACUGACACUUCGACGUGAUCGAUAGGCCUACCAUGGGAUCGAUCUGAAUGAAACGAGAUGUAAGAUUAUUUCAAUUUUUAAAUUUUGAUUACUAUGUCAUAUUUUCAAAGUAUGUGCAUAUAUUAAUUCACGGCAUUACUUGACUACUGCCUACGUGGGUGAGUGGCACCGGACGUUUGACGUAUCCUGCAUUUGUCGCCGCGUUCUACCAGUUGACACCAGACAGGGUUCGGUGGAACCCGUACACUGCAGUACUGACGGCAGCACGUGCUCCAUGAGGUAUGUCGUUGCUUUUCUACCGUGACCAGCUGCACUGGUUCACGAAGAAGCAUUUGGUUUUCGACAUUUUUGUCGAGCCCUACUGUGUGCACCGAGUGUUUCGCCAGCUUAGUGUGCGCCAGGAGUUCCCACUGCCACAUGAGACUCGAUCAUACUUCACACAUGCUAACAAGGAAAGGGCAAGAUGUUGCCUAUGAGGCAACUUGGGCUACAAAGAUAUAGACGUGGGCGGAUCAAUGGCUACAGGCUGCCGACGACGUCCACCAGACGCAGCUUGCGUAAAACGAGGCCAUGUACCCGGCCUACUUGCAUUGGUACCACCGCGCUACACGUUGGAGGUUCUUCCCCGUGCCACAGGACCCCGAGCCCCAUGAUGCGGAGAUUACGGACACAAUUGCCACCGAGCCUCCCGCUGCCUUUCAUGUUCUUGUAAUUGACUUUUCUUGACAUUAUGGGAUGCAGUGGUUAUGUGCGUAAUCGAACGAAUUAUUGAUAUCUACGUAUGCUCAAUUUUACAGACCGAUACUUGCAGCGAUGUCGGCGCGGAGUUGUUGUCCUUCAUGGACCGUCUUGAGGCGAACCCACCGCGUGUGGCAAGGAUGGAGUUAGCGAGUGGCCUACGACGCCUCUCACAGAGCUGUGUUGAGGCUGUUAGGCAUGCAACGGGCAGAGGGAUGCCAGAGGUGGUGAUUCCCGAGCAUAGGUCAACUCCAGUGUGUAGCACCCGCACGACUUCACCGGCAGGUGCUCCUGGUCCGUCGACCACUUGUGCGCCGUCCACCGCAGCAGGACCUUCAGCAGUGGACUCUACUGGGGCCGCUACGCCUACCGGUCAGCAGCGGUCGAGGCAGCUUCAGGCAGCCUGGACAGUUUCUACGUGCCGGAUCAAGACAUCUGGCCUCGGGAGGACCUACUCGACGCCUGGCAGAUGCCUGGAGCCCCCACACCGACACAGCCGACCAGGACGACCCAGUUGAGUCCACUCCAUUUCACCCCCCGCCACGUACUCACAAACCAGCGGAGCGUUUCAUGUUUCCGUCUGGUCAGCUGGCCAAGAAGAGAGAAGAAGUAGGUUUAGGACAUUGCAGAUGCACUCCAUUUUAUGUUCUAGUUGUCUUAUUUUUCAUCUCGAUCGUUGUGUACGAUGAUUGUGUAUCCCACGCGCGUGUCUUUCCUGGAUGCCAUGUUAGGUUGCAUCAGAUUCUUUAGCACCCCCACUCGUUCACUGUGUGUGCAUGUGCUCGUACGUGAAUUGAUUGCUCUGCGCUUUUCAGGUUGCGUGAACCAUGCCUAUAGACCAUCUACCUCCAUCUAUAAAUAGGGACAUCACCACAUCACAUAGGAAACCACUCCACAUCCCCCCAUUACAACCAUGUCUUCCUCUGGUUCCACCUAUAUUCCGUGGAACAAGAUUAGAGAACCUGUACCUCAAGGAGUGCAGGUUCCAAUGUGCUUCUGCGGCUCGUAAUGCAAGCUGAUGGAGCCCAAGGUUCUAGGCGACGACUACGGCAUGAGGUUCUCCAUGUGUGACAACUACGAGUACGACCCACCAAAGCGGUAUGGCAAGGACAAACCCAAGGUAGCAGCUCCAACUAUCUGGUUUGAGCAUUCAGAGUUCUCUAAGUCCGAUCUAACUCGGUUUAGAAAUAGAGUCCACCACCUCUUUGUGAUUUCAUACAGUGGCUGGACACGGAGCAAUCGCCGGAAGCUAAGGAACACAUUGAGCGCGAAGCAAGGUGGGCUGCAGAAAGGUGGCGGUGAAUGCUGCACGAGGAGAAAAUGGAGGAGAAGCGCAAGAAAGAACGGGAAGAGAUCUAGAAGAGGUUUGCAAAUGUGGAACGUUGGGAGGCGGAGGAGGGUGAAGCCGAUAGGGAGAGGAAGCGAGAGAGGGCCCGCCGUGCGAAGGAGGCGAGUCCCGAGACUAUUAUGAAGGGGAAGUAUCCUCGGUGCACUCAGUAGAUCAGCACCGUUUAAUCUCUGCAUUUCAGAUUCCCUAAGGCAUGUUAGGUGUAGUUCGAACACGACGUUAGCAUGUUCCAUGCACAUGCCACUGCAAUUUGUUUUCUAAUUUCAAUGUCUACUCAAUCAGCAUCUGUACUUUGUACUGCAAUCUGUGAUUUGUCCGCUAGCUGAAAGUUUUUAA
This is a long non-coding RNA of Panicum virgatum (switchgrass), 3083 nucleotides long. RefSeq lists it as uncharacterized. The record is from RefSeq and is a predicted model, not a curated record. The transcript has 3 exons. NCBI's taxonomy places the organism in Eukaryota, Viridiplantae, Streptophyta, Magnoliopsida, Poales, Poaceae.